This 554-nucleotide ribosomal RNA is filed under the name uncultured bacterium. RNAcentral's name for it is "bacterial SSU rRNA". It matches the Rfam family "Bacterial small subunit ribosomal RNA", at positions 359 to 917 of the family's 1533-position model. The record is from RNAcentral.
GAUUGGUAAUGGACGAAAGUCUGAACCAGCCAUGCCGCGUGGAGGAUGAAGGUCCUCUGGAUUGUAAACUUCUUUUAUCUGGGACGAAAAAAGGUUUUUCUAGACCGACUGACGGUACCAGAUGAAUAAGCACCGGCUAACUCCGUGCCAGCAGCCGCGGUAAUACGGAGGGUGCAAGCGUUAUCCGGAUUCACUGGGUUUAAAGGGUGCGUAGGUGGAUUGGUAAGUCAGUGGUGAAAUCUCCGGGCUUAACCCGGAAACUGCCAUUGAUACUAUCAAUCUUGAAUACCGUGGAGGUCAGUAGAAUAUGUCAUGUAGCGGUGAAAUGCUUAGAUAUGACAUAGAAUACCAAUUGCGAAGGCAGCUGGCUACACGAAUAUUGACACUCAGGCACGAAAGCGUGGGGAUCAAACAGGAUUAGAUACCCUGGUAGUCCACGCCCUAAACGAUGGAUACUCGACAUACGCGAUACACUGUGUGUGUCUGAGCGAAAGCAUUAAGUAUCCCACCUGGGAAGUACGAUCGCAAGAUUGAAACUCAAAAAAAUUGACGGA